UCCAGGUUUUGUGUAAACGAGUUAAUAACAGAAACAUUUCUGAAAGUGGUUUUGGACAAGAUCAAGGCGGAGAAAGAGUCUAUGGGACAUGAACUCCUGCAGUCUCUCUGUAGGGUUUAUGUGGGAUUGUGUCAAAAGAGAGGAGACUCUCAUAAAGCACAUGCCCUCGCCUACAGAUUUCUUAAAGAAGACUUUUCUGAAGCCCCAAAACUGAUAAUGGUCAUGGUGGCAGCAUAACCAAGUGUUUUCUCCCAAAACAGCCCUUUUUGCAGAGCCAUUCACAUCGUGUGCAAAAUAAGGGCAUACGGAAAGAUUUAUUACUUGCUCAGCAAAUAUCUGCACUGGCAUACGGCGAUGCUGAAGGUCUGGAGGUGGUUGAAACAUACACCUGAUUCAAAGAAUCUGAAAAACAACAAGAAAUACGUCACACACUUUAACAGCAGGAGCAAGAAGCACCAAGUCUUCAGAAUGCAGCCACAGCAUUAUUCACAUAUCAGC
Long non-coding RNA from Silurus meridionalis, 498 nucleotides. RefSeq lists it as uncharacterized. The transcript has 4 exons. The record is from RefSeq and is a predicted model, not a curated record. Lineage: Eukaryota; Metazoa; Chordata; Actinopteri; Siluriformes; Siluridae.